AUACGGAGGGGGCAAGCGUUGUUCGGAAUUACUGGGCGUAAAGAGUACGUAGGCGGAUCGUUAAGUUAGAGGUGAGAUCCCAGGGCUCAACCCUGGAACUGCCUUUAAUACUGGCGAUCUAGAGAUCGAGAGAGGUGAGUGGAAUUUCCAGUGUAGAGGUGAAAUUCGUAGAUAUUGGAAAGAACACCAGUGGCGAAGGCGGCUCACUGGCUCGAUACUGACGCUGAGGUACGAAAGCGUGGGGAGCGAACAGGAUUAGAAACCCUAGUAGUCC
RNAcentral lists this ribosomal RNA (274 nucleotides) under uncultured bacterium. RNAcentral describes it as "partial 16S ribosomal RNA". It matches the Rfam family "Bacterial small subunit ribosomal RNA", at positions 523 to 796 of the family's 1533-position model. The record is from RNAcentral.